This 613-nucleotide ribosomal RNA is filed under the name Scopulariopsis gossypii. Its description in RNAcentral is "eukaryotic LSU rRNA". It matches the Rfam family "Eukaryotic large subunit ribosomal RNA", at positions 37 to 656 of the family's 3401-position model. Lineage: Eukaryota; Fungi; Ascomycota; Sordariomycetes; Microascales; Microascaceae. The record is from RNAcentral.
UGCAUAUCCAAUAGCGGAGGAAAAGAAACCAACAGGGAUUGCCCCAGUAACGGCGAGUGAAGCGGCAACAGCUCAAAUUUGAAAUCUGGUCCCCUCUGGGGGCCCGAGUUGUAAUUUGAAGAGGAUGCUUUUGGCGAGGCGCCGUCCGAGUUCCCUGGAACGGGACGCCGCAGAGGGUGAGAGCCCCGUACGGUCGGACGCCGAGCCUCUGUAAAGCUCCUUCGACGAGUCGAGUAGUUUGGGAAUGCUGCUCAAAAUGGGAGGUAAACCCCUUCUAAAGCUAAAUACUGGCCAGAGACCGAUAGCGCACAAGUAGAGUGAUCGAAAGAUGAAAAGCACUUUGAAAAGAGAGUUAAAAAGCACGUGAAAUUGUUAAAAGGGAAGCGCUUGCGACCAGACUUGCGCCCGUCGGAUCAACCGUCGCUUGCGGCGGCGCACUCCGGCGGGCUCAGGCCAGCAUCAGUUCGCUCGGGGGGAGAAAGGCGGCGGGAAUGUGGCUCUUCGGAGUGUUAUAGCCCGCCGUGUAAUACCCUCGGGCGGACUGAGGACCGCGCGUAUGCAAGGAUGCUGCGUAAGACGAAAGUAGCGUAAUGGUCGUCAGCGACCCGUCUUG